GGGUUGUGAGGUUAAGCGACUAAGCGUACACGGUGGAUGCCCUGGCAGUCAGAGGCGAUGAAGGACGUGCUAAUCUGCGAAAAGCGUCGGUAAGGUGAUAUGAACCGUUAUAACCGGCGAUGUCCGAAUGGGGAAACCCAGUGCAAUUCGUUGCACUAUCGUUAACUGAAUACAUAGGUUAACGAGGCGAACCGGGGGAACUGAAACAUCUAAGUACCCCGAGGAAAAGAAAUCAACCGAGAUUCCCCCAGUAGCGGCGAGCGAACGGGGAGCAGCCCAGAGUCUGAAUCAGCUUGUGUGUUAGUGGAACGGUCUGGAAAGUCCGACGGUACAGGGUGAUAGUCCCGUACACCAAAAUGCACAGGCUGUGAACUCGAAGAGUAGGGCGGGACACGUGGUAUCCUGUCUGAAUAUGGGGGGGACCAUCCUCCAAGGCUAAAUACUCCUGACUGACCGAUAGUGAACCAGUACCGUGAGGGAAAGGCGAAAAGAACCCCGGCGAGGGGAGUGAAAAAGAACCUGAAACCGUGUACGUACAAGCAGUGGGAGCACCUUCGGGUGUGACUGCGUACCUUUUGUAUAAUGGGUCAGCGACUUAUAUUCUGUAGCAAGGUUAACCGUAUAGGGGAGCCGCAGGGAAACCGAGUCUUAACUGGGCGUUAAGUUGCAGGGUAUAGACCCGAAACCCGGUGAUCUAGCCAUGGGCAGGUUGAAGGUUGGGUAACACUAACUGGAGGACCGAACCGACUAAUGUUGAAAAAUUAGCGGAUGACUUGUGGCUGGGGGUGAAAGGCCAAUCAAACCGGGAGAUAGCUGGUUCUCCCCGAAAGCUAUUUAGGUAGCGCCUCGUGAACUCAUCUUCGGGGGUAGAGCACUGUUUCGGCUAGGGGGUCAUCCCGACUUACCAACCCGAUGCAAACUACGAAUACCGAAGAAUGUUAUCACGGGAGACACACGGCGGGUGCUAACGUCCGUCGUGAAGAGGGAAACAACCCAGACCGCCAGCUAAGGUCCCAAAGUCAUGGUUAAGUGGGAAACGAUGUGGGAAGGCACAGACAGCCAGGAUGUUGGCUUAGAAGCAGCCAUCAUUUAAAGAAAGCGUAAUAGCUCACUGGUCGAGUCGGCCUGCGCGGAAGAUGUAACGGGGCUAAACCAUGCACCGAAGCUGCGGCAGCGACACUAUGUGUUGUUGGGUAGGGGAGCGUUCUGUAAGCCUGCGAAGGUGACCUGUGAGGGUUGCUGGAGGUAUCAGAAGUGCGAAUGCUGACAUAAGUAACGAUAAAGCGGGUGAAAAGCCCGCUCGCCGGAAGACCAAGGGUUCCUGUCCAACGUUAAUCGGGGCAGGGUGAGUCGACCCCUAAGGCGAGGCCGAAAGGCGUAGUCGAUGGGAAACAGGUUAAUAUUCCUGUACUUGGUGUUACUGCGAAGGGGGGACGGAGAAGGCUAUGUUAGCCGGGCGACGGUUGUCCCGGUUUAAGCAUGUAGGCUGGUUAUCCAGGCAAAUCCGGAUAAUCAAGGCUGAGGUGUGAUGACGAGGCACUACGGUGCUGAAGUAACAAAUGCCCUGCUUCCAGGAAAAGCCUCUAAGCAUCAGGUAACAUCAAAUCGUACCCCAAACCGACACAGGUGGUCAGGUAGAGAAUACCAAGGCGCUUGAGAGAACUCGGGUGAAGGAACUAGGCAAAAUGGUGCCGUAACUUCGGGAGAAGGCACGCUGGUGUGUAGGUGAAGUCCCUGCGGAUGGAGCUGAGACCAGUCGAAGAUACCAGCUGGCUGCAACUGUUUAUUAAAAACACAGCACUGUGCAAACACGAAAGUGGACGUAUACGGUGUGACGCCUGCCCGGUGCCGGAAGGUUAAUUGAUGGGGUUAUCCGUAAGGAGAAGCUCUUGAUCGAAGCCCCGGUAAACGGCGGCCGUAACUAUAACGGUCCUAAGGUAGCGAAAUUCCUUGUCGGGUAAGUUCCGACCUGCACGAAUGGCGUAAUGAUGGCCAGGCUGUCUCCACCCGAGACUCAGUGAAAUUGAACUCGCUGUGAAGAUGCAGUGUACCCGCGGCAAGACGGAAAGACCCCGUGAACCUUUACUAUAGCUUGACACUGAACAUUGAGCCUUGAUGUGUAGGAUAGGUGGGAGGCUUUGAAGCGUGGACGCCAGUCUGCGUGGAGCCAACCUUGAAAUACCACCCUUUAAUGUUUGAUGUUCUAACGUUGGCCCCUUACCGGGGUUGCGGACAGUGUCUGGUGGGUAGUUUGACUGGGGCGGUCUCCUCCCAAAGCGUAACGGAGGAGCACGAAGGUUAGCUAAUCCUGGUCGGACAUCAGGAGGUUAGUGCAAUGGCAUAAGCUAGCUUGACUGCGAGCGUGACGGCGCGAGCAGGUGCGAAAGCAGGUCAUAGUGAUCCGGUGGUUCUGAAUGGAAGGGCCAUCGCUCAACGGAUAAAAGGUACUCCGGGGAUAACAGGCUGAUACCGCCCAAGAGUUCAUAUCGACGGCGGUGUUUGGCACCUCGAUGUCGGCUCAUCACAUCCUGGGGCUGAAGUAGGUCCCAAGGGUAUGGCUGUUCGCCAUUUAAAGUGGUACGCGAGCUGGGUUUAGAACGUCGUGAGACAGUUCGGUCCCUAUCUGCCGUGGGCGCUGGAGAAUUGAGGGGGGCUGCUCCUAGUACGAGAGGACCGGAGUGGACGCAUCACUGGUGUUCGGGUUGUCAUGCCAAUGGCACUGCCCGGUAGCUAAAUGCGGAAGAGAUAAGUGCUGAAAGCAUCUAAGCACGAAACUUGCCCCGAGAUGAGUUCUCCCUGAGACUUUAAGUCUCCUGAAGGAACGUUAAAGACGAUGACGUUGAUAGGCCGGGUGUGUAAGCGCAGCGAUGCGUUGAGCUAACCGGUACUAAUGAACCGUGAGGCUUAACCUUACAACGCCGAAG
This 2924-nucleotide ribosomal RNA is filed under the name Klebsiella pneumoniae. RNAcentral's name for it is "bacterial LSU rRNA". It matches the Rfam family "Bacterial large subunit ribosomal RNA". The record is from RNAcentral. Lineage: Bacteria; Pseudomonadati; Pseudomonadota; Gammaproteobacteria; Enterobacterales; Enterobacteriaceae.